UCUGCUUCAUGGCACCCCAUUUCUGCACUUCCUGUAUUAGCCACUUGGAGAUUCCCUCCGCUGCCUUCUCAGCCGCCAUGAAACCAACCUCCAAUUGAAUUUUAUAUUCGCCGGUGCACAAACAAGGAGUGAAUUGGAGGAUAUGUACAAUGGCUAAAUUGACAUGCUAGCAUUACAUAUGCAUGCACAAAAUAGUCAAUUAUUGUUUCUGUAAAUGCAGUUGUUAAAACACACGGAGGCAGCCUUCAGAAGAGAGGGGGUAUAUGUUACAACCCAAUUUAUCUAGUCAAAAAUCAAGAGUUGAGUUUUCAAAGUCAAAGUUAAAUAGGACCUUAAUGAAGUGAAUUGUUUUAUUGGGGUUAUUUUACAAAUUGACAAUCCUUGAGGAUUUAACAUGGACAUCAUUUAAAUUUGAGGAUUUAUUUUACAAGAAUGGAAAGUUAAUGACUAGACUUUAUUUAAAACAUAAAAGGAGGGACUUGACUUGCAAUUAUUCAAUAAUUAUCCAUUAAAUAUCAUCUAUAUUACCCAUUUUCUCAUAUUUUGGGGAAAAAUGAGAGAAGGCUCGAGAGAACCUGAGAGAGAAGAAAAGAGAAGGGAAGAAAGAAGAUGAAGAAGAAGAAGAAGACGACGAAGAAGAAAGAAGAUGAUUUCAAGCUAGGGUUUUCAAGUUCUUUAAUUUCUCUUUGAUUUAGCAUGGUAAGUAUAAAGUAUAUUGUUUAAGGGAUAUGGACAAUUUGCUUUAAUUCAAUGUUUAGCAAGAAAUAUGUGUUAUUGAUAUGUAUUUGAUGUUAUAAAUAAAGAUAUAGCAAAGAAAUGUUUAUUUGGAUAUUGAUGUUGAAGAAAGUGAAAACUUUGGAAAUGGGUUUGUGAGAUAAAUGCAUAUUCUUUGAAAUUCUUGUGAUUAUAUGAUGCUAAACACUUAGAUUAAGGAUUUGAGGUUGAAAUUCUCCAAAUUUUCAGCCAUUUUCAAGCUAUUGUAGUAUACCAGAAAAGAGCCAUUUCUGUCCAUGUUUUCGAUGAUAUAUUUUAAUAUAUAGACAUUGGUGCUAGUUUCAAUCUAGUUUCAAUAUUUUGGAAUUAUAGUGCUAGUUUUGCCAAUCAUAUAAUUUUGGUGGAUUUUUAGUAUUGGAACCAAAUUAAGUGUUGAAUAUUUGGGGUUUUGGUGUUAAAAUAAUUUAUAUGAAGGAGUACAUGUAGUGACCAUAAUUGGGAUUAUGAAGUUGAAAAUAAAAUAUAUCAAGUCCCCAUUGGUAAAUUGAUAUUUCUAAUGGUAGGAAAAUACUCAAGACUCCUCUAUGAAGGGAUAUAAUUUAUUGUAGCGAGAGCGAGAUAAAAUUCUUGGUAUUGAAAGUGAGAAGGCGAUGAGAAGAUCGAAACAAUGAUCAACUAUAACUUGGUGAGUGGAUAUAAAACUUAUUUUUUAGAAAUUAAUUAUUUAUUAAAUUUACAUUAGAUUAGAAAAUUUAUUAUUUCAGACAGUUGAUUUGACCGCGUGAUUUUUAGAAUGAAAUGGAUUUAUAAUCAGUUACUUUUAAAGUUAAAAUCAGUUUAAUUAAAUUAUUUCACUACCAUGUUUUAUUCGAACUACAUGUUUCAGUAUAGCCAAAGUUAUUUUUUAAAAACCACCAGAAUGUACCCAGGUGAUUUUACUCGCUUUACACUGGUGUGAAUGUGUUUCCAUAGUGCAUGGCCAGUUAUGGUGAUUUUACCCGCUCUGCACUAUUGUGAAUGUGUUUCCAUAGUGUAUGACCAAAAUUACAGAAUUUUAGCUCUGCGCGCGUAUGACCAGAAUUUAAGAAUUACAGAAUUCUAGAAUUAUAGAUUUCAGAACUGAAUAGUUUUACCAUGUAUAUCGGUACUAACCGAUACAUGAGUAAGGUUAUUCCAGGUACCUUUUUGGUGUGAUUUUUCAGUAUUUUUACAGCUUAUCAGAUUUCAGAUUAUAGAAUUCAGUCUAUUCAAUUCUCAGAUUAAAACUUUCAGCUUAUAGUAUUGAGCAGCAGCUAUAUUUUAUAGAUUUUCACGGAUGUCAUAUUAUUUAUAUUCGUUGCAUUUUAUAGUUACUUAUCUAGAAUGAAGAACAAAGAAUUUUAUGAUGUAUUCAUGUUUAAUUUUAAAAGUGUUACCAGAUUUCAGAAUUUCUAGAAGUUUUAUUAGUGCAAUAAUUUUCAGAAAAUAUGUAUAAAUGAGAAAAGUUUACUUAUUUGAAAAUUAUCCACUCACUGAGCUUUAAGCUCAUAUAUUUUUUUCUCCUUUUUCUUUAUCAACAGAUAGCAGCCGAUUUGAGCAGUUUUGGAGCAUGUUAAAUCACCGAAUUGAGCCACACAUCGUAGGUUGUAUGACAUCCUUUAUCAGAUUAUACAGUAUGUGUUCUUUUGGAGUACAUGUAUCUUAAAUCAAAAAAAUUCAUCAUGGGCUCAUUACAUCUUUGACGUAUUUGGUAUAUUUGAGGAUUGUUGGUUGUAAAGCAAGUAAAUAUUGAAUGGCUAACAUUUUAUUUGAAUAGUUUGUAUUAUGAGCUACUGAGGUACCCUAUUUUAUAUUAUAGGUAUUGAAUUGUGGAAACUUGGUUAUUGUCUAGGUGGUUUUAGUUCAUAUUUUAGAGGAAACUCUGUCCAAUUUUGUUAAAAAUAUUUUUCAGUCAAGCAAGUCAAGUUGCCUUGGUAGUAGAUCCAGCAUUUAACUGGUAUCUACCAUCGGAGCACUAUACGUGUCGGAUCUACUAGGAUGAUUCGGACGGGUCGUGUCAAUUGAUAUCAGAGCAUGGUUCAAUGGUUGUUAAGCUUGAGUAAUUCAUGAAUUAAUUUUUCAGAAUAGUAUGUCAUUAAGAUUGUUAGUUGUGGCGUGGUGGUAGAACUCACAGGCUCCAAUGUAGUAUUUGAAACUCAUGUUACCCCUUAUAACGAAGAUAUGGCAACUAAGAAACAAGGGCCUCUAAUGAUUUGAGCAUUUAAGGAAUUAUCGAUGGUAAUGAGAGUUGCUAGAGUUGUCAUGUUCGUCCAUGUUAUAUUUUCUCUAAUAUAUUAAUAAUUGCUCUAUAUAUCCAACAUGCAGCUAAGCAAAGAGUAUAACUUUUCUUAGUAGUGGAAUGCAAAAUCACAUCAUUUAGAUUUAUUGGGUUAUGAGAUUCUUUUAUGAUUAUUAGAGGGAAUGUGUUGUAAAUGUUUUGGAUGAUAAGUAUAGUCAAAUGUUGAUAUAUGUAUAAUUGGUGAUAUUACUAGGUGAAAUCAUGAUCGUUUUUUACAUCUAUAUUAUUGUGGUAUCAUGAGAAUUAUUGUGGGAAUUUGUAAUCAUAUUUUGUAUAUGGAGGAAGAAGCGUGUAUUAGAAAAUCAAGAUGUGGAGAUAUGACAAGGAAUCUUGUUCAUGACAAAAAUAAUGAAACCAUAUCGAGUUUUGAUUCAUGAUGAUAAUGGUGUUAUUAAAUAUGUACCUUGCGAUUUUGAGUAAACUAAUGUGGUUGUGGUCAUCCUUUGUUGUUUAGGAACAAUUAAGUAUUUAUGUUUGUAUUUCAACUGCUAUUGAAGGAAAUAUUAAAGGUUUAAUUACUCGGUUUGGGUGUAUGAAAAUAAGUUAUGAUGAAUGAAAAAAUGAGAGAAAAUAUUUCUUACAGCUUUAGAAAUGACCAGUAUGUAAGUAUAUCAGUUGCAAGGAUUUAAUGGUUGACAAUGUUAUAAGUUGUUGGGUACCCCAGCUAGAGAGUUAAGACCCUCCACAACUACGCAAUAUUUUCCGAGCUUGCUGUUCCAUCCAACGGUUCUUACUCAGAUAAUCCUUGGCUUAGCUUAGUUGAAUCAUCGUGGUUUUAGUAGAACGAAGGGUACGAAAUCAAUCUGAUUGAUUUUUCGAUCAAAAGUACUAGGUACGGAGGUGUAUGUAACCUACUCAAUAAGAGUACAACAAUGAACACAUAUCAUUUUGGAAUUAGAGUUUUAAUGAUUUUGUUGUUUAUCUAUCAAUAUACAUUCAAAGGAGUUGAGUACACAGUUACCUAAGUAUUGAAUCACAUGUAAGAUUGUAUGAUUUUUUUUAUGUAUAUAUCGGAAAAUCUCUAGAUAUCAUUUGCAUGAUAAAUAAAAAGGGAAUGAUAUUAUGUGUAAUUGAUGACAAUCAUAUGAGAAAUCUUAAUUCUCUUGGGAAGCUAAAUGAUCAUUAGCAUCAUCGAAAAUUGUAGAGAUGAUAGGAAUUAAGGUGAUGUAUAUCUACAUGUAUAACAAGAAUCUCAUGGAGGAUAAAUGAUGAUAUUUUAUUGAAUAGUGAUCGCUAGAGAACAAUGUGUUAAUAUGCAUGUUAUGCAUCGAGAAAAUUGACAUUCAUGUAGCUUUGAUCAUUUUGAUUAUUUAUGGAUUAUUUGAUUAUAAGAAGUGAUAAAUAUAUGAAUAGACUUCACAAAGACUACUUAUUGCUAGAAAAAUUGUUAUUCAAUGAAAAUAAUUAUUGGAUUUGUGCAUUUAUGUAAAUUGGGGAAAAUGACAUGAAUGAAGUGGGUCGAAGAAAUACAUUUUGAUUUUCAUUCUUGAAAUACAGUAAGAGGAACAUGCAUUGAAGUAAAGGAAACGAAAAGAGUAAUUAGUAUAUCACCUUUCACAUAUAAGCAUGUAUGGUUUUAAAAAUGAAAUGAUGCUAUGUAAAUUAUAGAAUAAGGAAAGAAGAAAAGAGUAUAGAACUAUAGAGUUGAAAUUGAUGGAGAUUGAGAAAUUAGAAUACGAAAUUUUGGUGGUCAAUAGAUGGCUGAAAAGUUCACGUAAUAAAUAUUAAGGUUAUUACUUUGUAAUGUUAAGAAAAAUUAAUAUAAUUAGAUGUUUUAAGCCUACAAUAUAGCAAUAAAUGAUCAGAUUACAUGAUCAGGUGAAUAGUAAUUAAAUGAAAUUUAUGGUUGUCCUAUGGCAUAUAAUGUGAUGAAAUUUUUGGGUUAUUUUAGAUUGUAUUUUUGGGUCUCACGAAUAAAGUAUUUCAUUCUUAUCGAGAUUUAUACGCUAUGGAAUAUAUGGAUGAUAUGUUGGAUUGUUAAAGUCGAAGAUAAUCAUUAAAUGUAAAUUUUACUCACUGUGGAGUGAUAUCUUUUGGUUACAUUAUCUUCAUUAGAGCUCUUUAUGAUAUACAAUGACCUCUUUAUGGAAGAAGAGUAUAAAAUUAUCAUGGAUUAAAUGUUAUAAUUAUCUCUUCAAAGAAAGGAAGAGCACCAAAACUAUCUGAGUUUAGAAAUGUGAAAAGUUUUGUUAUCGGAUUAAAUUUUGAGGAAGUAUUUACACUUGUAUCUAAAUUUGACGAGGGCUUCAUUUAUGAAAAUGAGUUAUGUUAGAAUUUAGAAAGUGUUCUAAAGUAAAAAAGAUAAAUUAUGGAUUAUGCUAUAAGGUUACUUAAGAAGCAUGAUUAAAACAUGAUUUAGAGUGGAUUAUAUUGGGGUUGAAAUUAGUAGUUGCACUAUUAUCACAUUAUUAGAAAUCGAUACUUAUUGAUCACCAAAGUUAAGGUAUAUUUUUAAUUGAAAAGGGUUAAAAUUGAAAUUGUGUAUAUAUUAUCAUUUAGUGAUACAGAAUUAAAGGAAAAGAACACCAUAUUGAGCUCUAUCAAUUGUUGUUGGGGAUAGUUAGAAUUUUAGAAAAUCGUGAACAAUUGAAUUUUUGCAUAUAUUGUCAUGUUAGAAUUGGAUUAGUUACCCUAAAAUGUUUUUUAUUUUGGGGUUCCAAGUACAGAUAAUUGAGAUAAAAUGGUAUUUGAAUCAUUAUUGAUAGAUUGAUAAAGGUUACAAGAUUCUUUUCAAAUAAUAUAGUUAGUUCAUGAGAUAGAUUUGUUAAAUUAUAUUUAUAUAAGAUUGUUAUUUCUACAGGGAGUCUGAGCAUUAUCUUUGGGUUUGUUGUAGAAAGCUAUAUAACUAAGCUCCAUUGUAUAAUUUAUUUUAAUCGAAUAACAGCCACUAUGAAGACAAGUUUAGAAGAGAGGCUAUCAACUUUGAGUUUUAAUUAUAACAAAAGAUGAAGUUUUGAAGAAUGUGAAAAGUAUCUUAAGAAUUCAAAUUGGGAAAUAGCUGAAAUUUUUCUAAGAUUUGAUGAAAUGAAAAGCUGAGAAUAUCAUAUAUUGGCAUUUGAGACAUUAUCUAAACAUGAGUCCAAUUGUUCAAGGAUGGUGUUUAUAAUAGGUUUAUCUGGUAUUUAUGAAUGUGUUGUCUAUUUCUACGGCUAGUAAGUGGAUGUCAAAUUUACCUUAUGCUUUAAGAUUAUUAGCGAAGUUAAAAGAGAACUUAAUUUAGAAAAAGUCAAAUAAGAUGCAAGAUCUGAAAGAAUGAAAUUGUGUUUACUUAAGGUUGCUGGAGAAAUCAUUCAAUAAAAGAUGCCCUAUGGCAAGUGGAGAUCAAUUUUGUGCUCAAUAUUCUCAUUUAUUCAUUACCUAGUUAGUUGCUAGUUGAAUUUCAAGGAAGAAAUUCUUUUAAGUAAGUAAGAUUGUUACAACCCAUUUUAUCUAGUCAAAAGUCAAAAGUUGAAUUUUCAAAGUCAAAUGAGGACCUUAAUUAAGUAAAUUAUUUUAUUGGGGGUUAUUUUACAAAUUACAAUCCUUGAGGGUUUAACAUGCACAUCAUUUAAAUUUGAGGAUUUAUUUUACAAGAAUGGAAAGUUAAUGACUAGACAUUAUUUAAAACAUAAAGUGAGGGACUUGACUUGCAAUUAUUCAAUAAUUAUCCAUUAAAUAUCAUCUAUAUUACCCAUUUUCUCAUAUUUUGGGGGAAAAUGAGAGAAGGCUCGAGAAAACCCGAGAAAGAAGAAAAGAG
Molecule: long non-coding RNA, 6767 nt
Filed under: Olea europaea (common olive)
Lineage: Eukaryota; Viridiplantae; Streptophyta; Magnoliopsida; Lamiales; Oleaceae
Description: long non-coding RNA (OEUR_LNC014566)
Source: RNAcentral